AUGGCAAGGGAGUGGCUCAAAUUCUUCACAUUGCCCCUGCUCUGCCUGCACCCCCACCCCCACCCCAGGCAAGCGGUUUCUACAGGAUUAUGUCAUUUUUGGUGGAAAGGAUCAAAGAAGUGGAAGGUGGAAAAUCAAUGGAAAGAGUGGAGAGCGCUGAUGCGAAAAGAGCAAGAGCCAGACAAGAAUACCGGGAGAGAGAAGAACAAAGCUUUUCCCUCUCUGCUUCUGGAAUGUAAAUAUUAUCUCAGUUUGAAGAUAGAAGAGGGGCAAAGAACAACAGAUGCUUUCAUUCAACAGUACUUACCAAGUGGCCACUUUGAAUUAGGCCCAUAUGAAUCCAGUCAAAGCACCAUCAGGGGCUGCCAAAACUAGAAGAUCCCAGAUGUCCUGGUGCAGGAGGUGAAUAUCUUCUCAACUGAAGACAUGGAAACAACUUAAAUGUCCAUCGACAGAUGCAUGGAUUAAGAAGAUAUGGUAUAUACACACAAUGGAAUAGUACUCAGCCAUAAAAGAGAACAAAAUAAUGACACUUGCAGCAACAUAUAUGGAACUAGAGACUCUCAUACUAAGUGAGGUAAGUCAGAAUGAGAAAGACAAAUACCAUAUGAUAUCACUUAUACAUGGAAUCUAAUAUAUGGUACAAAUGAACCUUUCUACAGGAAAAAAAACUCAUGGACAUAGAGAACAGACUUGUGGUUGCCAAGGAUGGGAGAAGGGAGUGGGACAGACUGGGAAUCUGGGGUUAAUAGAUGUAAACUAUUGUCUUUGGAACAGAUAAGCAAUGAGAUCCUGCUGUAUAGCACUAGGAACUCUUACCUAGUCACUUAUGAUGGAUCAUGAUGGAGAAUAAUAUGAGAAAAAGAAUGUAUAUACGUGUGUAACUGGGUCACUUUGCUGUACAGUAGAAAAUUGACAGAACACUGUAAACCAGCUAUAAUGGAAAACAUAAAAAUCAUUAAAAAAAAAAAAAAAAAAAGAUCAGACGUGUCAAGAGCUAACCAGAGUACAGCCCAGCAGUGUUAAGUCCCCAGAACCUCUGCAAACCUCAUCUGAAUGCACUACUAAUUUCAUUUCUUACCCUAGUGGUCUCUUCAGCCUUUCUCAAACUUUGUCUUACACUCUUCCCUUUGCUGACAGUGCGUUUCUUCUCACUCAACUACUGAAGGGAAAAAAAUCCGCCUUUCAAGAUCGAAUCUAAAGGACACAUCUCCUCUGGUCCUCUCUUCCAGUUCCCUUGAUCCCAGUAAGCCCACUGUUGCUUACUCGUACCUUGCUGGUUACAAGGUACAGAUGCACCAUAAGUACAUACUUGCCUGCCAUGCCCACUAGACUGUGAAACGCAGUAAUUCUUAAACCCUCAGCACUUAGCUUGGUGCCUGGCACAUGAUAGGUGGUUAAUAUA
This 1405-nucleotide long non-coding RNA is filed under the name Sus scrofa (pig). RNAcentral describes it as "lncRNA (ENSSSCG00030005829.1)". Lineage: Eukaryota; Metazoa; Chordata; Mammalia; Artiodactyla; Suidae. The record is from RNAcentral.